This 124-nucleotide small RNA is filed under the name Marmota monax (woodchuck). Lineage: Eukaryota; Metazoa; Chordata; Mammalia; Rodentia; Sciuridae. The record is from RNAcentral.
GCCAGGUGUGGGGCGCCCGCCUGUAAUCCCAGCAGCUCAGGAGGCUGAGGCAGGAGGAUCAUGAGUUCAAAGCUGUCCUCAGCAAAAGUGAGGCCCUAAGCAACUCAGUGAGACCCUGUCUCUC